Molecule: ribosomal RNA, 253 nt
Filed under: uncultured bacterium
Lineage: Bacteria
Description: partial 16S ribosomal RNA
Rfam family: Bacterial small subunit ribosomal RNA
Source: RNAcentral
UACGAGGGGUGCAAGCGUUAUUCGGAUUUAUUGGGCGUAAAGGGUGCGUAGGUGGUAUGUUAAGUCUGUUGUUAAACUUUCCGGCCUAACCGGAAGCAAGCAGUGGAAACUGGCGUACUUGAGGAUGGAAGAGGGAAGUGGAAUUCUCGGAGUAGCGGUAAAAUGCGUGGAUCUCGAGAGGAACACCGAUGGCGAAGGCAGCUUCCUGGUCCAUAUCUGACACUGAGGCACGAAAGCGUGGGGAGCAAACAGG